Molecule: ribosomal RNA, 383 nt
Filed under: uncultured bacterium
Lineage: Bacteria
Description: bacterial SSU rRNA
Rfam family: Bacterial small subunit ribosomal RNA
Source: RNAcentral
CGGAUUGUAAAGCACUUUAAGUUGGGAGGAAGGGUUGUAGAUUAAUACUCUGCAAUUUUGACGUUACCGACAGAAUAAGCACCGGCUAACUCUGUGCCAGCAGCCGCGGUAAUACAGAGGGUGCAAGCGUUAAUCGGAAUUACUGGGCGUAAAGCGCGCGUAGGUGGUUCGUUAAGUUGGAUGUGAAAUCCCCGGGCUCAACCUGGGAACUGCAUUCAAAACUGUCGAGCUAGAGUAUGGUAGAGGGUGGUGGAAUUUCCUGUGUAGCGGUGAAAAUGCGUAGAUAUAGGAAGGAACACCAGUGGCGAAGGCGACCACCUGGACAAAGACUGACGCUCAGAUGCGAAAGCGUGGGGAGCAAACAGGAUUAGAUACCCUGGUAG